CUCUACGUCAUCAUCCCCUACACCUAUAUUACCCGUUAAAAACCUUCUAUGCUACCUCCCACCAAAAGAAAAACAUUAAUGCUCAAUCCCCACCAGUAUCUCAGGAUAGGUAUCACAAUACAGUGAGGUGGACUGAAAUCUCUACCUGCGAAAAAAGUCCAACUAUGUUGAGUUCUGCAUAACAGCGGCUUUCCACUGGGCCCAAAAAAGAAGCAAUGCCCAGCCAUCCAACCCAACAGCAAGAAAUUUGGAAAACGUGAUAACGACACA
Pelobates cultripes (western spadefoot toad) is the source of this 270-nucleotide non-coding RNA. NCBI's taxonomy places the organism in Eukaryota, Metazoa, Chordata, Amphibia, Anura, Pelobatidae. The record is from the annotation of a GenBank genome assembly.